Molecule: long non-coding RNA, 848 nt
Filed under: Olea europaea subsp. europaea
Lineage: Eukaryota; Viridiplantae; Streptophyta; Magnoliopsida; Lamiales; Oleaceae
Source: RNAcentral
UUUCACUCACAAACCUAAUUCAUUUCUCAACAUAUUCCCUCAUUUUCUUCUUUAUCGGGUGCCAGCAAGAGGAACGACGCUACUGCAAGAGAGUAGUGCCGACUGCGAGAACCUUUGCCCCUAGGUGCUCUACCCAGGAAUGUCUCAGCUGCGAAGACCUCUGCCUCUAGGUGCGCCACGCGACCUCUGCCAAAUCUGAAAAACAUUGUCCGAAGAAGUGACGUCAUCGAAAUACAUCAUGUUGCGGUACUGUGGCGUCGCUGCACGCGUGGCACUGUGCCAAAAAAGGAGAUGAUGUCGUUGCACUGCAGUUGAUUGGAUCUCAUUUUAGACGUAUGUAAUGAUGUCGCUGCUACUACAAUUUAUGCGUUCUAAUUUUUUAUCUGAUUGUGUAGUAAUUUUGUUGACAGUGUUUGUAGUUGGUGGUCAUGAUGUUGGCGGUGAUGUUGAGUUUGUGGUGAUGUUGGCUUUGUUCUGGUUUGGAUCUAGUUUUGGUAAAGGAAAGGGUAGAGGCGGAGUGGUGUAAUGUUGGUGGUGGUCAUGGUGUGAUGUUGUUGGUGGUCGUGGUGGUGAUUGAUAAAUUUUGAUGAUUUUUGGUGGUGUUUGGGUGGUCGGUAGUGGUGGGUUGUUGGGGCUGUGUCUAUGUCUAUGUUGCUAGCGAUAGGGUUGUGUUGGUGAUGGUGGUGCUAUUAGACUGUGUUGGUGGUGGUGGUGGUGUGUGUGAGACCAACUAUUUGGUUAAUCUAUGACUAAUCAUCUGGUUAUUUGUGAUUAACUAUUUGAUUGUGACCUAAAAGUUCGAUAAUUUGUGAGCAACUAAUUUAAAGAUCUGUGAUCGACAAAUAAAU